CCUGGAACCGCCAACUUCCAGGAAGGUUGGCUCCGGGAGAGGAACAGAUGAAAGCUCGACAUGGCUAAAUUUUGCAAUGGGUGAUGCUGACCAGGCUCUGUCUCCCAUUCACUGGGUAAAGAAAUCAGGCUGCCAUACGGCUCUGGGUGGGGACCUGGUCUCGUUCAGUUUAGAAGCAUUUAUUUUUUUAAAGUAAGUCCUGGUGUUGACUGGGAGUUGAGGGUCUGAGGCCAAGUUAAAGCAGACCGUGUCGACGGCGAAACCCCCUCACCGAGGGGUCAGCAGCUUGGGGCAGAAGGGCGGGCUCCAUGCAGAGGCCUGAGAACCAGAGGAAAAAGCAGGCCAGGGCACCCUCCAAAGCAGCCCCCCAGAAAGGACCUCCAUGGGGUCCCACCAGGGUGUGCUGAUGAGGAAGUCGGCACUCAGAGGCUGAGAUGGCUCCAAGGUCGCACAGCAAUAUGGACACAGGUCUGCAUCCCGAAAAGCUUGUGCUCUGACCGCUACACCACACUGUCUCCUACCCUGCUUCCCCCUGUGGCCAACCAUGGGCCUGCCCAUCCCAUCAAGCCACUCGAGCUGGAGGGGGGACACCUGUGUGUCCUAAGCCCCUACACCGCGCCAGCUGCUGUUCUGGAGGCUGGAUGUGCAGCCGGGAAGAAGCUGGAGGGGCCUGCCUUCAGGGAGCUGGUGUUCCAGAAGGAUGCUCAGCUCCCCACAGCCCGAGACAGACAGACCCUGGCUGUCCAUGGCCGCCAGCCACUGCCCUCCAGGUGACAGGAUGGUGGGGGGCCGGAGCCAGGACGCCCGCCUGCUCUUCCAGGAGGAACGGCGCGCACGAAAGCGUGAGCCCCAGGGAGCAGGGGAGGAGGCUGAGCCAAGCAGGCGGCAGGCGGGAUAAAGGAUAAACGUAGCGCCGUGACGCAGCUGCUCCCUCCGUGCAGGGCUGGCCGGCAGGGCCCUGGGCCCCAGGGGGGCCACCUAAGCUGGUGGUCACGGCCUCCCCCCGGCGAUGCACCGGCCCGGCCCCCCGUGUGUGGGUAAGGCUCCCCACUCUGCCCAGACGAGGCAGGAGGACCAAUGGCAGAGGCGGCCGUGGAUUCUUGCCUGGCAACAGCUGCAGGACUCGGGGGCCGGAAGUCGCCCCUCCCACAUCCUCCCAGUGCCCUGGCUUUGCCAACGCAGGAAACUGCCAGCCUGGGCUCCUCGGAUCCUCAAGAAGAGCUGGCUCGCCUGUUGGGAGGGGGGAUUGCACGAGCGAGCUGGGGUGCGCGGCUGUCCCACGGGGAGCGGCACCCUAAGGUCCGGCCAGGAGAUACUCACCGGUGCCCAAGGCGGGGGGUGGGGAGGAACUGCCCCCAAGUGCCCCCCACCUGCAGGGGCAGAGAAUCAGCUGCCAGGCGGGCUCCCUGGAAGGUGGCAAAAGUGUCCCUGUAGAGCCAGCUGACUGCCCCCAGGAGCCCUCGCACCAGGCUCUGCUCAAGACCCUUCCCGGGACAAGCCGAGCCCCCCCAGUCAGGGCCCUGGGCCCAGGACCCCCGGGAAGGGGCCCACCCUCCAUCGUCCAAGACCAGAGCCUUGUCUUCCUGGAGCCCCCUGUCCCCACCACAACCACAGGAAGCCUUCACCCCUCCCCUGGGGGCCUCAGGACACAGAACUCUCCUCUGUCUCAGCUUUUACUCCCAAAUACUUUUUUGGUCCAUGGAGACUAGAAAGCCCCAGAGUGAGGACCCCAUGAUGGAGGAGUCUGGGGGGUAGAAGGUACAGACAGGUAGGCACGGCAGGCUCGCUCUGGGCCAUGGGGCAGGGGCAGCCCCUCAAAUGCGUACCUUCCAGAACUUGUUUUAUCAGUGAAGCAGGGCAGCUAGAUCCCAAUAAGGAAUGGGUCUAGAAACAAGAAAAGCCACUUCUUUCCUUCACCCUGGGCCCACAGCACGUCCCCAUUCUGGAGUUGCAUCCAGCCCAGAGGACCACAGGGGAGGCCAGGAUGGGGACCUGGAGAGGCCUGCACCCCAUGGUCAACAUGCUUUCCCAGCUAGAAACUGGGAUACAUCAGUCACAGCGUUUGCUCUGAUGUGCAAAGCACAGUAAACCAAGCUGUAUCUGGCCGGGAGUUAACUAAGACCCCCGUGGACAUGCUGGACAUCAGCACGCUCUGGGUCCUGCCUCUUGGGUGCCCGAGAUGCCCACGAGGAGCCCCGUGCAGGCCCAGAUGGGACAGGAUGGUUCGGGCCACCGGGGGCAGCGCUGCCACCAAGGCGUCUCUUCCUGGCCCCCCUGUAGCCCCUCCUCUGUCUGCCUCUGCGACCAGACCGCCCGGUCCCCCAUCUGUGGGUCAGCAGGACAGACAUGGCAGGAGGUCCCCGAGGGCUGGCUCUCCCUGGGACUUGCCUAUGUCCUUCUCUGGACUCAAUGCAGGGGCUGCCCAGCAGCUCUUGGUGGUGCACCAAGGGUUGAACAUCUUGAAAAUGAGAAGGGGGUUCACUCUACACGGUUACAAUGGGGUUACUUAGCCUGGUAGCAGGUGGGACAAAGACGGGGGGUGGGGAGAGAGAGAGGGCUGUCACCCCACCCCUGCUCCUCCAACAGGCUCCCUCUCUCCCUGCCCCUGCUUCCCCUUCUUCCCACGCCCUCCUCUCCCCUCCUCAGACUUAGAAGGGUGGACCCUGGUGGUGCGCCCCCGGGUGGGGGGGAUGCUCAGCCCUCACCCCCACCCUUGCUCACACCCUCACUCUGUGUGCCCAGACCUCUCAAAUCCAGCCAGGUAAGUUUACUGCCAGUUGAUCUUGAAGCAGGGAUACUCAGAUUGGGCAAAUGUGUCCACGUGUGGCCCAGGAUGCAAGGCAGGGGUGCUGGGGACAGGGGGGCUCUCACACACCGGCCCUCUUCUGUGGGUAGUGCUCAGGUUGGCUCCGACCCUGAGAUGGAAAGUGUUUUGAAAUGCAG
RNA transcript from Canis lupus familiaris (dog), 2943 nucleotides. RefSeq lists it as uncharacterized. Lineage: Eukaryota; Metazoa; Chordata; Mammalia; Carnivora; Canidae. The record is from RefSeq and is a predicted model, not a curated record. The transcript has 3 exons.